CCUACGGGAUGCAGCAGUAGGGAAUAUUGCUCAAUGGGGGAAACUCUGAAGCAGCAACGCCGCGUGGAGGAUGAAGGUUUUCGGAUUGUAAACUCCUUUUGUUAGAGAAGAUAAUGACGGUAUCUCACGAAUAAGCUCCGGCUCAGUCCGUGCCAGCAGCCGCGGUCAUACGGAGGGUGCAAGCGUUACUCGGAAUCACUGGGCGUAAAGGGCGCGUAGGCGGGAUAGCAAGUCAGAUGUGAAAUCCUAUGGCUUAACCAUAGAACUGCAUUUGAAACCGGUAUUCUAGAGUAUGGGAGAGGUAGGUGGAAUUCGUGGUGUAGGGGUAAAAUCCGUAGAGAUCAAGAGGAAUACUCAGUGCGAAGGCGACCUGCUAGAACAUAACUGACGCUGAGGCGCGAAAGCGUGGGGAGCAAACAGGAUUAGAUACCCGUGUAGUC
This 440-nucleotide ribosomal RNA is filed under the name uncultured bacterium. RNAcentral's name for it is "partial 16S ribosomal RNA". It matches the Rfam family "Bacterial small subunit ribosomal RNA", at positions 338 to 795 of the family's 1533-position model. The record is from RNAcentral.